GCAAGACGGAAAGACCCCGUGAACCUUUACUAUAGCUUGACACUGAACAUUGAGCCUUGAUGUGUAGGAUAGGUGGGAGGCUUUGAAGCGUGGACGCCAGUCUGCGUGGAGCCGACCUUGAAAUACCACCCUUUAAUGUUUGAUGUUCUAACGUGGACCCGUAAUCCGGGUUGCGGACAGUGUCUGGUGGGUAGUUUGACUGGGGCGGUCUCCUCCUAAAGAGUAACGGAGGAGCACGAAGGUUGGCUAAUCCUGGUCGGACAUCAGGAGGUUAGUGCAAUGGCAUAAGCCAGCUUGACUGCGAGCGUGACGGCGCGAGCAGGUGCGAAAGCAGGUCAUAGUGAUCCGGUGGUUCUGAAUGGAAGGGCCAUCGCUCAACGGAUAAAAGGUACUCCGGGGAUAACAGGCUGAUACCGCCCAAGAGUUCAUAUCGACGGCGGUGUUUGGCACCUCGAUGUCGGCUCAUCACAUCCUGGGGCUGAAGUAGGUCCCAAGGGUAUGGCUGUUCGCCAUUUAAAGUGGUACGCGAGCUGGGUUUAGAACGUCGUGAGACAGUUCGGUCCCUAUCUGCCGUGGGCGCUGGAGAACUGAGGGGGGCUGCUCCUAGUACGAGAGGACCGGAGUGGACGCAUCACUGGUGUUCGGGUUGUCAUGCCAAUGGCACUGCCCGGUAGCUAAAUGCGGAAGAGAUAAGUGCUGAAAGCAUCUAAGCACGAAACUUGCCCCGAG
RNAcentral lists this ribosomal RNA (729 nucleotides) under Salmonella enterica. RNAcentral describes it as "partial 23S ribosomal RNA". It matches the Rfam family "Bacterial large subunit ribosomal RNA", at positions 2075 to 2803 of the family's 2925-position model. Lineage: Bacteria; Pseudomonadati; Pseudomonadota; Gammaproteobacteria; Enterobacterales; Enterobacteriaceae. The record is from RNAcentral.